AUACGGAGGAUCCGAGCGUUAUCCGGAUUUAUUGGGUUUAAAGGGUGCGCAGGCGGCCAUUUAAGUUAGCGGUUAAAUCGUGGGGCUCAACCCCAUUCUGCCGUUGAUACUGGGUGACUUGAUUGCGGUCGAGGUUGGCGGAAUUCGUUGUGUAGCGGUGAAAUGCAUAGAUAUGACGAAGAACACCGAUUGCGUAGGCAGCUGACCAGACCGCAAAUGACGCUCAUGCACGAAAGUGCGGGGAUCGAACAGGAUUAGAUACCCUGGUAGUCCGCACAGCAAACGAUGAAUACUUGUUUUCGGCGAUAUAAUGUCGGAGGCAAAGCGAAAGCAUUAAGUAUUCCACCUGGGGAGUACGCCGGCAACGGUGAAACUCAAAUGAAUUGACGGGG
RNAcentral lists this ribosomal RNA (392 nucleotides) under uncultured bacterium. RNAcentral describes it as "partial 16S ribosomal RNA". It matches the Rfam family "Bacterial small subunit ribosomal RNA", at positions 523 to 918 of the family's 1533-position model. The record is from RNAcentral.